GACAGCAAUGCAUUCCCACAGGAUGAAUCUUCUCCAGACUGAAGACCGUUUCCUUCAACCUUUUUUUUUUCUGUCUUAUUCCUUUCUCCUCCUCUUGUUUAGUUUUCUUUUUUUUUUUUUUAACCUGUAAAUACUAUUGAUGAAUCAGAAAUUUUCUUUCUAGGUCUUCAUAAAUUAUCAGUAUAAUUCUUUGUCAUGCCUGCUUCUUCCUGGUCUCACUUUCUCUCACUGUGGUAAUCCAUUUUCUUAAUCACCUAAUUUUUAAUCAACCAAAGUGAGUAUGAGGUAAAAGGAUUAGCAGUUUGGGCAGAAGUUAAAAUGUCUCAUGGAUGUUUUGACUCAAACUCUAUAGACUUAUUUGUAGCAAGUGCUUAUGAUAUAAUUCAGCUGAACGAGAGGGCAGCUUUAAGACAUUUUAGAAUUGUUUCUUACCAUUGUCUUUUACUUCCUGGGCUCUUCAAUGUUUGUCAUAAUUAUACCUAGUUAGAAGGCUUCAUUUGCUCUGAGUUAUCAUUGAGAACUAAAUGGAGAAGAAAAGAACUGAAGGCCUGAAGAUAUGUCAUCUGUAGAAAAGGUGAGCUGAACUUUUCUCUGUCUGAACAUACUUUGGGUUUACAAUGAGACAUUUACGUAUUUGUAUAAAUCGGUUAUACUCUGAGCUAAUGUGAACACAAACUUGGUAUAAAUACAGAUGACUCCCUCUCUGCUGCUGUGGGAGGUUCAACUGACACCUGGGGCUCAGACCAGUCUUGUUACCACAUGCUUGGUGAAAUUCAAAGUGUGUCACACAACUACAACAGCAUUCAUGGCCAACCUAUUUGGUAGAAAGGAUUGAAGUCAGAUGGGAGGUCAAUUUGCUGUCUAAAUCAAAAAAACUUAGCUCCUUUGCAGAUAAUUGAAGAUGCUGCAACAUUGCCCGAAAACAUUUUAUAAUAAACAGGUGAAAUAAGUGAUAAUGAAGGUGGGUUUGGAUUUUUUAUUUUAGAAGGAGAAAUUUCAUAGAAAAUAUGAAUCCUUGUCUCAUGAUUAGUGUCUCUCUGCAACAGCCCCAUCCUUCUGCAGGUGGCCUCUUCUCAAGCUUUCUUGGCAAAUCAAGAGCUUCUGCCUUUUGGAGGACAUCCUCUUGACCUCCCACCCAUAUCAGCUCUUAGAGGACAUUCCACAGGAACAUUGCCUUCUUGUCCUCCAGUAUUUUUUAUGGAAACAGAAAUUAGGUUAUCUUCCUUAUGCUCUAGAUGGACAUCUGAAAUCAUCAAACCCUUGAGAGAAACAGCCCUCAUUCUUUUAUGAGACAACCUGGAAGAAAACAGGACUCUGAAGAUUUGUCUCCAUAUUCUCUGGAAAGAUGUACUCUGUUUGCAAUAAGAGGGAGCCACAUGGUUUAUUAGAUGGUUAUUAAUUGAGCAUUCUGUGCAAAGAAGUUUGUGCCUUAGAUUUAGAAUUCCACCCUCAGUUGGAAUACAGAUGAUCCCUAACAAGUCACAUGAAAAAAUGAACUGUGGAGCCAGAAGAGUGAGUUCUUGGAGAACUAAGGGCCAGAGACCUGUGAGCAAGAUUUGAUAAUUUUAUAAAAAUUAAAAGACGAUUUGAAAUGUUAUUGGUCUUACUAAAACUUUUACUUGUGAACUGCAAUUGAUGACAUGAUCACUUGUGCCAAUUAUAAUUUUAUACCAAAGGACUGCAGAGCAUUGGAUGGGUUUGUUGGGCAGGUUUCUCACAAACGCUGACAGAAAGGUAUGACGAAGGAUGGGAGGACAAACUGGGGGGGUGCCAAGUAGAAAAACAGAAGCGAUGGCUAAGUGCUCGUCCUGGACUCUGCCCUUUGAUAAGGGACUGAAGGUCCCUUAUGAUCUUCUUUCAAAUUCCACCGUCACAGUUUUAGUCACAUCCAUCUAUAAUAUUAUUUACUAUCAGACUUUUCUUUAAAUUGACUCGCUUUUUCACUUUAGCCUUAUCCCAAGCAAUAAUGCAUAUAAAUCAUAAGUUUGUUGUAAUAGAUUUUUUGUAAUACUAAUCAAAAUUAAAUUUAUUCCCCUGUAACAGAGAUAAUUUCUCAAAUUACUUUGGAAAACACCAAUUUAAAGUGCUCAGUUUACCACUUGAGGAAAAUGAGAGAUCAGAGGAGUAAAGCCAAUUUUCCAAGGUCACACAGCCUGACAACUGGAAAUCCUGGCCUAGCACCUAAGUCUUUUAGGUAUUGGCCCAGUACUCUUUCCUUCUAUCAUCUUUCUCAGAGGCAAAGAAAAAAAAAAAAA
Molecule: long non-coding RNA, 2255 nt
Organism: Homo sapiens (human)
Lineage: Eukaryota; Metazoa; Chordata; Mammalia; Primates; Hominidae
Product: long intergenic non-protein coding RNA 1210
Source: Ensembl